UCUACCCCUUUUGUUUUUUUUUCUUUUGGGCUUUGUUGUUUUUUUUGGGCCUGGGGGCUGCUGGUGGUAUGGCCUGCUGGGUCGGGUCGUCAGUUGAUUCGGGUCGGGUCAGUUUGACCCGACUGAAUUAAAAUUUUUUCUUUCCCUUUCUUCUUUCUUUCUUUCUUUCUUCUCUUUUUCUUAAUUUCUUUCUUUCUUUCACGAUCAGCGCCCCCUUUUGUGUUGUCGGUGACGCCUCCUGGUGCGACGGCCGGCGGUGGUGCGCACGGUGGUCUCCUUUUCCCCUCCCUUUCCUUCUUUUCUUUUUUUCUUUUUCGAAGCUUUUUUUUCUCUCUUUUUUCUUUGCCUUUUUCUUUUUUGUUUUGGCUCUUGUUUGCUUUGCUAGGUGUCGGCGAUGGGUACGACGGUGCUGGUGCGACGGCCGGCGGUUACAGGUGGCUAGGGAGGGCCUAGGUCGGCCGCCGCCGUUGCAGGUGCACAACUUGCGCUGGCGACUGCCAGAAGGACCAGAUUGCAAAUGCAGUAAAAAUUCUAGGGCCAAAGUGUAAUUUUGGGAAAAUUUAGGGUCAAAAUGUAAUUCUAGGAAUGUUCAAGGGUUAAAAUGCAAUUUCAAGAAAGUUUAAGGGUUGAAAUGUAAUUUCAAAAAAGUUAGGGGUCAAAAUGCAA
Long non-coding RNA from Gossypium raimondii (Peruvian cotton), 666 nucleotides. RefSeq lists it as uncharacterized. The transcript is spliced from 2 exons. NCBI's taxonomy places the organism in Eukaryota, Viridiplantae, Streptophyta, Magnoliopsida, Malvales, Malvaceae. The record is from RefSeq and is a predicted model, not a curated record.